UUCCUGGUGGCUCAGUCGGUAAGGCGUCUGCCUGCAAUGCAGGAGACCCAGGUUCCUGGGUCGGGAAG
This 68-nucleotide transfer RNA is filed under the name Bos taurus (domestic cattle). It matches the Rfam family "tRNA". Rfam says of the family: Transfer RNA (tRNA) molecules are approximately 80 nucleotides in length. RNAcentral also lists the same sequence under 1 other name. Lineage: Eukaryota; Metazoa; Chordata; Mammalia; Artiodactyla; Bovidae. The record is from Rfam by way of RNAcentral.